UAAAACGUAGGAGGCGAGCGUUAUCCGGAUUCACUGGGCGUAAAGCGCGCGUAGGCGGUUAGGUAAGUCGGACGUUAAAGCCCCUGGCUCAACUAGGGGAGGUCGUUCGAUACUGCUUGGCUUGAGGGUGAGAGAGGAAAGUGGAAUUCCCGGUGUAGCGGUGGAAUGCGUAGAGAUCGGGAGGAACACCAGUGGCGAAGGCGGCUUUCUGGCUCACUUCUGACGCUGAUAGCGCGAAAGCGUGGGGAGCAAACGGG
RNAcentral lists this ribosomal RNA (257 nucleotides) under uncultured archaeon. RNAcentral's name for it is "partial 16S ribosomal RNA". It matches the Rfam family "Bacterial small subunit ribosomal RNA", at positions 521 to 776 of the family's 1533-position model. The record is from RNAcentral.